This 386-nucleotide ribosomal RNA is filed under the name uncultured bacterium. RNAcentral's name for it is "bacterial SSU rRNA". It matches the Rfam family "Bacterial small subunit ribosomal RNA", at positions 43 to 455 of the family's 1533-position model. The record is from RNAcentral.
CAGGCCUAACACAUGCAAGUCGAACGCCCGUAGCAAUACGGGAGUGGCAGACGGGUGAGUAACGCGUGGGAACGUACCCUUUGGUUCGGAAUAACUCGGGGAAACUCGAGCUAAUACCGGAUACGUGCGGAAGCAGAAAGGUUUACCGCCGAAGGAUCGGCCCGCGUCCGAUUAGCUAGUUGGUGAGGUAACGGCUCACCAAGGCGACGAUCGGUAGCUGGUCUGAGAGGAUGAUCAGCCACAUUGGGACUGAGACACGGCCCAGACUCCUACGGGAGGCAGCAGUGGGGAAUAUUGGACAAUGGGCGAAAGCCUGAUCCAGCAAUGCCGCGUGAGUGAUGAAGGCCUUAGGGUUGUAAAGCUCUUUUACCCGGGAUGAUAAUGAC